RNAcentral lists this long non-coding RNA (151 nucleotides) under Cavia porcellus (domestic guinea pig). RNAcentral describes it as "lncRNA (ENSCPOG00000034132.1)". Lineage: Eukaryota; Metazoa; Chordata; Mammalia; Rodentia; Caviidae. The record is from RNAcentral.
AGCAUUAAAUGUUUGCUAGACCACUAUUUUUUGCUUCUAUUCGCUGUGGACUGCUUAGAAAGAACCUGGGAGACCUCCAAACUACACAAUGCCCUGAGGCUUCUAUGAAAGGAAAUGCGGUGCCUGAAAAAUUCCUGUAAGACAAGCACCA